GUCCAGGGUUCAAAUACCCACUCAGGCAUGAAGCUCACUAGGUGACCUUGGACCAAUCAGCAUCUUUCAGCUUAGCCUACCUCACUGGAUUAAUGUGAGGAUAAAAUGGGGAGCGGGAUGUAUGCCAUUGUCAGCUUGUUGGAGGAAAGGUAAGAUAUCAAUGUAAUAAAAUAAUUCCUGUGUUCACUUACUUGGGUUUAAGUCUCAUUGAAAUCAGCAGAACCCCACUUUUCAUCCAAACAGGCUCCCUGUAUCUUAACAGGUUAGUACCAAACAAAAAAAGUUUACAGUCUUAACAGGCAUGACACAAAAGGAAUAAGGGUUGGAGAGGGAGGAGGCACAUGAGUCGGUUGAUAAUGUUGCCAUAAUUUGUUGUGUGCAUGUAGUACAUUUGUUACCAUUAGACAGGACAGCCUCUGCUCACAGAAGCCUUCAAGUACAUUGCUGAUUUAUAAAUUUAUAUAUUGCAUAAUAAAAACCCAAGCAGUUUGCAUAAAAGUAAUAAAAAUGCAACAAUUUUCAAUAAUGUUUCCUUUAAACUGAGAUGGAAACAAAACUAUAUAGCACAAAGAAAGCUGAACAGCACUGAAAAUUAUGUGCCAGUCUAGGAAAUAUUUGGUAGACAUAAAUGUUUCUAAGCGGCAAUUAAAGGUGAUUACUGUCUCCGCCUUACAAAUUGCUUAAGGGCAUUCCAUAGGUUGGGUGCUGUCACCAAGAAGGUCUGCUUCCCUGUUGUCAUCAAGUGACAAUCGGCAGAGUCUCCUUCAAACAUCUACCAGGGAUCUGCUAGCUGGUUUGCUACAUACAGUAUUGGUGUUGUAUAGAAGGUGGGUUAUCUCUAGGAUGUAUAACCUCUGUACAGUGUCUUCUAAGUAACAGUGGUAGGAAACAAAAUGUUUUGUGAGUAGGUGAACGAAGGAAAGUUUCUGGGGGAGUGCCAGCAAAGAACUUAAAGCUAGGGCAGCAGGAAUUGGAGCCAAGUUUAGUCAUCAGAGUAUAAUAAGAGCCCUGCUGGAUCAGGCCACUGGUCCAUCUAUUCUAUUCCUCCAUUCUAAUCUUACAGUGGCCAACCAGAUGCUUAUAGGAAGUCAGAGUUGUAUAGUGCUGAACAUUUUUUUCCACUUUUCGGUCUUUUGUGGCAUCAUUUUUAACAGUUUGUAGCAGCAAACAGUGGGGCGUCACUUUCAUUCAAGUGGUGCUGUUCCAUGACAACCAAAAAAAGUAUACUUUCCACCUUCCAAGGAAAGUAAAAUGAAAGUAUUAGAUUUUAAAUACUACUGACGCUGUGCGACCUAUUAUGAAUCUCAAAAAUUAAUACAGUUCGGUACAGCUGCAUGAUUAUGAAAAGGCACCAUUAAUAUAGAGAGACCUGCCAGCGAUGCCUCAUUAAUGGAAGGUAAGCAUGUUGGAGGAUCCUUGGGUUUUAUUUCAGUGACUUUUUCCUUUCGCCUUUGUACUGCUGAACCUUGAAAAUGUAAAGAGCUUCAAGAAUUUUUGAAACAAAAACUCCUGACAGGGGUUAAGUGCUCAUUAAAAUUAAUAGGACUAGCAAAGGAGGUUGCUUCCAAGAAAACAAAAAUCUGGGAACAUUUUGGCCUGAAUAAUGACUGAUUUCACUAGUAAAUGGAGAGGUGAGCAAUACAAUAUUUUUCUGCAGUCUUACCCCUUUUUCGCUUAAGAAAAUAAAACUUUUUUUUUAAAAAAAGGUAUGAGGCAUAACCUCUCAAAUAUAAUUAAUUUUGAGUCUGGCACCCUGAUCCUAUAUAUUUGUAUAUGCUUAUCAAUGUACAAAUAUCCCAGAGGCAUUGGAAUAAUACUGAUUUGUUUAUUUUUUAAAAAAUGACAUGCCACUUUUCCCCUUGAGGUAGGUUCACCCAAAGCGGCUUACAAAUAUAGAAGCAAACAGAGACCCAAUAGCCAAAAUGCAAAAGAUCAAAGAGCCAUGCAAACACAGUGAAGCAUCAUUGAUACAUAAAAGUAUUUGUAGUCUCUCUGUUAUCAAGUCCAGGCCGGUUGCACCCCUGUAUAUGAUGGUCUAGAGGGAGGGCAACGCUAUGGUCGGUCUCUUUAGUACUGAGUGGGCUAUUUUUGGCUGCCAGGAGCACCAACUCCGUCAGGAGAGACGUUACCUUUUCUAAUUUGAUGUUAAUUUCCUCCACUGUUCUUGCAGUCAGCAGACAGUGGUCCGCGAGUAUUUCUGCAUAGAGCGGUGCCCCCUCAGACGGUAGUUCAUGGGAUAAUUCAUGAGCGCUCAUCUCAGCAUUCUCCCCUGGGUGAUCUCCACCCAUUAAAGCAUCCCCACCUACCUGGGAAUGAAUCCUAUUUGGUGUGGUAGAUUCUGAGUUCUGUGCUUUUACAAAAUCGUCCAUUUUGCUCUGCUUGCUCUUCUGUGGGCUCCCUUCUGGAGAUGAGGCCAGUCGUUUCUUUUUCCUAGGCAUUUUCCAGGGAUAGAGCCGCUGUAAAUCAGAGCAGCUUCUGCUGUAAAUCAGGAAGCUCUCUCUCUCUCUUUCUUAUGAAAGCCCUGUACAAUGGAACCAAACUGCAGGUCCGAUGCGGUCGACAGGGACAGCUAUCGAACAGCAUCGAGAUGACUAGGGGGGUGAGACAGGGUUGUAUUUUGGCCCCCACAUUGUUUUGUCUAUUCUUAAAUGACCUAGAAGAGAACUUAAUGGACCCAGAUGGACACAUUCCAAAAAUAGAAAUGAGAAGGACCCCUUUGUUGUUGUAUGCUGAUGACGCGGCCAUCAUCUCGCGUUACAGACCGGGCUUGAAUUAUCUGUUGAGGAAAUUUUCUGAUUACUGUUCUGGAAAUGGUUUAUCCAUUAAUUAUGAAAAAUCUAAAAUUUUAGUCUUCGAAAGAAGAUUCUCCCAGUCUAAAUGGGUGCUGGAUGGCCAUAACCUUGAACAGGUAAAAUACUUCAGUUACCUAGGGCUCACAUUCCAUCAUACAGGAUCUUGGAAGCACCAUUGGCAAACCUCCCUUCAAAAGGCGGAGAUUACAAAGCUAGCCAUACAUAGAUUCUUCUUCACAAAGGGCGGCAAAUAUGUUCCAGCAGCCUUAAGGGUUUUCAACGCAAAGCCCGUUUCCCAACUCCUGUAUGCAGCAAAUGUCUGGCAUAAUGGGGACCUGCCAAAGCUAGAUGGCUUUCAGGCAAAAUUUAUACGAUCUCUGCUGCAGGUACCUAACUGCGUCCCUAACUCCGUACUUCUGUUGGAAGCUGGUGAAUGCCCAAUUUCAGCUAGAGCGUGGUGGGCUGCCCUAAAACAUUGGCUCAGGAUUUCAGUGUUUAAUCUAGGGAAGGGUCUGUACCAACAUUUGACCAAUGAGGAAUUCGUCAGCAAAUGGUAGAAAACCAUGGCUAAAAAAGCCACCUCUAUUGGUCUGUCUCUCCCGCCCCCUCCACUGUAUUACCUGGGCUAUGAAGGCGCCCAAAAGGUUUUAAAGCAAAGAUUAUGGGACAAUGCACACAGUGACUUGCGAUCUCGGUCACACGCAGUCUGUAGUCCGCUGGCAGCAGGAGUUCAAUAUGGGUAUGUCUUUGAGUUAACAGCUUACAUCAAAAACCUAACAGUACCUAACUAUCGAAGGCUUUUCACCAAAGCCAGACUGAAUGUCUUCCCCUCUGCAGUGCUGGAUGGUAGGUUGAGAGGAGUUCCCUACCAGGACAGACUUUGCUCGUGUGCUCAAGACAUCGAUUCCAUAGAUCAUAUUUUGUUACAUUGUGCGAAGUAUGAGCAGGCCAGGGCUGAACUGAUACUACCCUUGCUGGUGCCUUUCCCAGGAAAGUCAGAGGCUCACUAUGUCAGGUUCCUACUGGAAGACCGGACAAAAGCUAGAACGUUGGCAGUGGCAAAGUUUUUAUCGGUGGUUGCAAGAACAAACGAGCCCUAUAUUCCAAACAAAGUGCUUGAUUAACCUGGAGGUAGACUGUAUGAACUCUGUAUUAAUUUGUAAUGUUUUGUUGGGUCUCUGGACCGUAAUAAAGAUUGAUGAUGAUACAUAAAAGUGGCAAUAGAAUCAAAACCGUGCUUAAAAGGGGGGUAUUUUCAGUUUCCAGCACAUCUCCAAUUGCUAGGAGGUCAGAACACUCAGGAAAUAGGAGGUAGUACUCCUUUCCUGAGCUCUAAUGUUUCCUUUCAAUGGUGCUUUGCAAGCAGAGGUGACUUGUGCAAGGAAGAGGCACAACCAAUUUUGCCAUGGGCCUAAGCAACUUCAAGCAUCUUGAUAGGCCUGAUUUGGGCUGCGGAGGACGCUAGGAUUGCGUUUAGCCCCUAGAGCCCUCCGGCCUUAUAUAACUUCCUGUUGUCCUAACCCAUCACAUAAAUCAGGACAAAACCUCCUGAUGAUAGAUCCUGUUAUCUACGCAAGAGCUAUGCUUUCUUUCUAAAUGCCUUACAUCCAAGAGUUCUAACCACAGAGGGCCUUCUCGGUGGCUGCACCCCUGUUAUGAAACACCCUUCCAACAGGGAUCCUUUUAGCAUCUACAACACUGCCUUUAGCAGUAGGUAAACACUCCUGUUCAACCAAGCUUUCUGAUUAUUCUGUUCUGCAUUACUUAGAGGGCAUAUCUGUUAGCGUAGUUUGCUUAUGCUGGAACAGCUUUUUGUGUUGCUUUUAUUGCUCUUUUUGAGACAUUGUUCCUAAUCUGGUGAUGGUCAUUCUUGUUUUUGUUUGAAAAUGGUUCUUCUUUGCAUGAGCUGCCUUGAAUACUACUGUGUAUCAGAAAGACAGCACAAACAUACUGUCUGGUGGAUAGGAAAUAUUUGUUUUAUUUAGCAAAAUGUUAUACUGCAUAAUUAGAAAGAAUUCACUCAGCGAUUUGCAUAAAAUAAUCUAGAACUUUCAUAAGAAUUUGCCGAUAAAAUCAACAGUUCCAAAAACAAUGAAAUAGAAUAAAAUUACUGGUCUGGGUAUAGGGUUGUCUAACAAAACUUUUUAGCGGGCAUCAAACACAAUGCAGCUAAGGUGCCUGUCUAAUGUAUUAAUAUUGCUAUGUUUGCAGUGCAGUUGAUAAGCGCCAGGGCAAUCUCAACUUGGAUGCUGCUUCUGCUGCUGAAUAGCUCUGACUCAAAUCCAGUGUGCACUUUCAUACCAUUACUGACUUUGACUGUGCUGACAGCGGCAAAAUCUUUUGCCAGAGAGCAAACGGGGCUUGUCCACUUGCAGAAUUGAGACAGGAAGUAGCAGAUGUUUUUCUUCUGAGUAGGAUCUGUCAAAAACUGUACAAGAUAUCUGAAUAUGUUUCACUUCUGAUUUUUGUAAGCUGCUCUGGAAUUUUUUUGAGCUAAAAAGCAAGGUAAAAAAAUCUUCCAAAUAAAGAAGGGAGCAAUCAUGACUCCCACCCACCCAGCCCCGUGGGGCUUUAUGGAGUACAGGGGUGACUUCCACAUCUGCAGCUUGGCCAGAGAUGGUAGCCAGGGCAGAAGGUGGGUAGGAAGUUUCAUCGGGCCCAGUGCCAUUAAGGAAUGGAAGUGAGCUCAGUUUUGGAUCCAACCCCUAAAAAUCAUGUAAAUUCACAACUAAAUAACUUGGAUGCAUUGUUAUUUGCAUCUUUCGUUGGGCUGUACUUACAUGCUUUCAUUAUUUUUUUUAAAAAAUCCCAUAGAAGGAUUGUCUUUAAAAUAUUCCCAAAUAGCAACCUUCCCCAACCUGAUGCCUGCCAGAUGUUGUUGGACUGCAUCCCUCAUCAGCCCUAGUCACUAUGACCCAUGGUCAGGGAUGAUGAAACUUGUAGUCCAAAUUGUUGGGAAGGCUGUUAGUGGCAGGUCUUUGGAGCAGGGAAAUGCAGCAGUGUUGACUUACCACAUUUUGAAGUAAUACACAUUUGCAUCUAGAGAGCUCUCCCCCCAUUAUAUUUAGAGGGUUGGACGCGGGUGGCGCUGUGGGUUAAACCACAGAGCCUAGGACUUGCCAAUCAGAAGAUCGGCGGUUCGAAUCCCCGUGAUGGGGUGAGCUCCCGUUGCUCGGUCCCUGCUCCUGCCAACCUAGCAGUUCGAAAGCACGUCAAAGUGCAAGUAGAUAAAUAGGUACCACUCCGGUGGGAAGGUAAACAGCGUUUCCGUGCACUGCUCUGGUUCACCAGAAGUGGCUUAGUCAUGCUGGCCACAUGACCUGGAAGCUGUACGCCGGCUCCCUCGGCCAAUAAAGCGAGAUGAGCGCUGCAACCCCAGAGUCGGCCACGACUGGACCUAAUGGUCAGGGGUCCCUUUACCUUUACCUUAUGCAAUAUUAGUCAAGGGUAGACAUAUUGAAGUUAAUGCACAUGGCUAACGUAGAUCCAUUCACUUCAAUGGGUCUACCUCUGAGUAGUAGGUAGCUGGAUACAUGUCAGAGUCUACAGUUGUCUAGCUGCACAUUUGUGUCAUCCCUACAUCUUGUAAUACGUCCUGUAAGGUUAUUAUACAUUUUGUGAAGAAUUUUCUUUUCUCUGUCCAGAAACUACUGCUGAUUACUUUCACUGACUUCUAUUGUGUGUGUGUGUGUGUGUGUGUGUGAGAGAGAGAGAGAGAGAGAGAGAGAGAGAGAGGUAGAAGCAGUUUCUCUCUCCACACAGUUCAUAAAUUUAUAAACCCUCUUUCUGGCCCCUCCUUCGUCAUCUUUGUUUUGUUUCAUUAAUCCAUUUGUCACACUUAACUGUCAUGACUAAUAGCCCUUGAUAGACCUAUCCGCCAUGACUUCUUCUAAUCCUUUUUUGUACUAGUGAAGACAGAUGCAAUAUUUAAGGAGCGGUCACAGCGGAUUCUUCACCCUUGCAUGAGACCCUCUGCAAAAUUUGCAUAAGAAGCAUAUGUGCCAGUACAAUGGUUCAGCCACUGGGUUUAACCCGCACCCCUUGCUCCAGUCAGGCACGUGAAGAUUUAUUCAUUUAUACUUUCAUUCUUCAUCUUAGUAAAGAACAAACCCACAAACGUGUUUAAAAGAUGCUCUUGGGGAUUGUAGAUGAUGUAAUGGAAUAGCCAACCAGUGCCCUUCAUAGCCAGCUCUUCUUUGGUUAAGAAUGAAUCAUGCUGCCAAUUUGUGGAACACAUUUUCUAGAGCUCAUGCUGGGAGAAAAAGAAGAUAUUACCUUUGUAUUAAAUCCUGUAAUCAUGGAGUAAAUUUUGAAGUACAAGAACUCAUCAUUGUAGCCCCUAAAGUCCUUAACCAUGCCCCCAAGGAAAGUCCAAAAAUUCAGGCAGAUGUGCUGAUCCAUUAAAACACACAUAAACAGAGCAGCAGUAUACAGCAUUAUACCCAGUUUAAUUAGAUUCACUGUCUGUGCUUUUGUUCAUCAAGUAUUGGAGAGUAAGCUCCAUUGAACUCAGUGCUUCUUCUGACUGUACAAGUUUGAGAUGUACAGCAGGUGGAAUGUUAACAAAAGCUCUUCAGCCUGCUGAAUUGCAACCUUUAGUUUUCUGUUAGAAAUGCAAAUAGGCUUGCAAAAAACAACAACAACAUUUAAACUACUAGUUUGAAGUAGGAACACUAUGAAAGAAAAGGAGAGAAGAAUCUAGCCCAUGCUUGAUUGCUUUUCCUCUCGUUCUCUGACUUGCUUGAUGCUGAAAGUGUAAAUCUCACCAUAUCUUCCUCAAGUGCUUGUGCGUUUUUGUGUGUGUUUCCCUCUCUCAAAUAUGACUUGGCUGGAAUGUAGUGUUGUACAAGGGUACAAAAAUUGCUCUGCCACUUUUGCUUCUGGCCCUGUCCACUACUGGUGCGUGGCCCCUGGAAGGUCAUCCAGGAAAAAAUGUGGCCCUUAGGCUGAAAUAGUUUCCCCACUACUAGUGUAGGCAAUAUUGGGCCAAACACACAAAUAGCUUGACCUGGCAUAAGGCAACUUCCUGUAUUCCUUUGCUGCUGCCCCUGAGGAAAGCCCAGCUCCUAUACUCUCCACAUGUGCAGAGUGACUGUCUACAUUUCUGCAUUGAUAUUUCAUUUCAGCAUUGGACUCUUGUUAGAUUGCCGUGUUUUGUUUAAUCUAGCACAGUUGUUUUUUUAAAAUUUCAGGGUAAUGUUUUCACCCAAAGCUCCAUAUUCUCUCAUAUAUAUAUAUUCAGAAACUGCUUCUGUUCACAUGUGCCACAAGUCUUACAUAACCCAGACAGGCGGUGGGAGCAAGCUCGUUGCUGUGACAUUUAUUACACUGAGCACGAGGCUUCUAUUCUGGUUCCCCUCAAUACCAGGUGCCACUCUAGGUGGCAGGUGGUAGGUUUUAAUCAGCGGCUUUGCAUUGCUUCAUAUGUUAGCCUUGUUAUUUUUAUCUCUUUUUGGGGUAUGUUUUUGCUCUAUUCCUUAUUUGAGCAGCUUCUAAAUUACUUGAUAAUUAAUGCGGCAACUCGUUGCUUCCCCUGAAUACAGAGCCCAAGCCGGUGCAAUCCUUUCAGUGACAGCUAUUUAUACAUAUAUGUGUGGCAUGGGCUGUGUUUUCCUCCCCCAUGUUUCAAAGCAGGGUACAUCUCACUCCACCCCCAGUGUGUGCAUCUUGGCUUCCCUAAUAUGCUUUGUGCAGCUUCCUGCAUUGUGUCUGAUGAGAAGCUCGACUCGGAUCCAGAUGGGGGGAGUGUUGCAUUGCUCUGCUCUUGCUCCUUUCCCUGCGAAAGCCUUGCCAUGCUGCAGCCAGAUAUCGCAGCCUUAAUUACACCUGCUGUGCCUCCCAAAUAAUGUGAAUUCAUGUGGGGCGGCAAUGUGAAGAGGUGCCUUACUGUGAUUGCUAAUGACUUCGGAUGCUGGUCAGUUGCAUAGCUGCCCUCCUUUCACUUAUGAGAUUUGCUGCUGCAGCAGUUUAGCUCACCAGUCUCCCCGGGACUGCAAUUUAUCCUGAUGAGGAGCUUGCCUUUUCUGUAUGGAAACAACAGUUAAGGCUCAUCUUCACUGAAAUCAUAAGGGUAGGUCUCUGUAUAAUCUUAUGGACCCUGCAGAUUCUUGAAAAGGAUUGAAGAGCUCAAUGGACUACGCAGUACAGUGGUGCCCCGCAAGACGAAUGCCUCGCAAGACGGAAAAACCGCUAGACGAAAGGGUUUUCCGUUUUGAAGUUGCUUCGCAGGACGAAUUCCCCUAUGGGCUUGCUUCGCAAGACGAAAAUACCUUGCGAGUCUUGAGAUUUUUUUUCGCUUUCCCCCCCCUUUAUCUAAUCUGCUAAACCUUUAAUAGCCUUUAAUAGCCUUUUAGCAGCUAAUCCCCUAAGCCUUUAAGCCUUUAAUAGCCGCUAAACCGCUAAUAGCGCUAAUAGCGCUAAUCCGUCAAUGGGCUUGCUUCGCAAGACGAAAAAACCGCUAGACGAAGACUCUCGCGGAACGGAUUAAUUUCGUCUUGCGAGGCACCACUGUAAAUAUUUUUCAAAUAAUAAUAAAAAGCAUUGCCACUGGAGUCAGAUGACCAUUGUCUUUGCAGUGAUUUUUCUAUUUCCAGAAUGUAAAGGUUGUGCAGAAAUAAGCACACAGUUAAGUUCCACACUUGUGACAUCAGUCCGGCAUUCUGAAAUCCAAACUAGUACAGCAUAUUAUCUGACAAGGCCAUAUGGUUCUGGCCCAAGAGCAAUUGGUUUCACUGGCAAUGAGGGCUGAUGGGACAUGGAGUUCAGCAAUAUCUUAUACCCUGUCUUAUACCGAAUCCUUAGUCAAUAGAACCCACCACUGUUAGAUCCCAAGACAACAUAGAGAUGGAUCCUGGGAGUUCUUUACAUCUUCCAUGCAAAGUUCCUGGUUGAGACCAUCCAACUAAUGAUUCUGGAUGACUUCUUCACAAUAUAUCGUUUCUGUAGAACAAAAUGCCUGGGUGUCCAGAGUGAAUGAAAGAAAAAAAAAAUUAUACAUGUUCAUUGUGUGUGAUUUUAGCAGGUUACAUGGUGAAGCAGUUAUUGAAUAGUUGUGCUGGGGAGAUAAGUCACUUUGCAACAGAAUAAGAUAAGCAGUUCCCAACCCCUCCACCCCCACCCCCACCCCCACCCCCACCCCACUACUAGCUUAAUUGCCGAAAGGUAGUCAGAGAAUCUGGGCUGCUUGCAGGAGCCUGGAGGGAAUGUGAAGAGGAACCACCACAACAUUGUCCUAGAAGUGACAAGCAGCAGCAGCAAUAACAACUCCAGGGACUCCUGAGAUAACUUGAAAAUACGAAGUGCACAAGCUUGUGUUUGCAAACCUGUGGUUCGUUCCUUCAUUAGGAAGCAAGGGUUGUCUGUGGCUCCUUGCCGGGUGUUGGUUUGUCAGCAAAGCUGGCUUUGCUAGUGCAUGUUGUGAUGGGUAAAAAGGAAUUUAAAAGAGGUAGACUGGCAAGAAAAGGACGCACAGCUACAGCAUCUGCCAUGUCAAACAAAACGGCUAUAGCCUUGAGUUGGCCGCCAUAUGCUGGCCCCAAUUGCACAUCACUUUAGACCAGCCUUUCUCAACCUGUGGGUCCCCAGAUGUUGUUGAACUACAACUCCCAUCACCCCUAGCUAGCAAGGCCAGAGCUCAGGGAUGAUGGGAGUUGUAGUCCAACAACAUCUGGGGACCCACAGGUUGAGAACCGCUGCUUUAGACCAUCAUUAAAGCUUAACUAUGGUUUAAAGAGCACACAUGCUGGUGCAUGAGACUCAAACUGUGGACACUUGUCCCUUUCCUGCUCCUGCCACACAUUGCCAGGAGCUAAGCAAUGGUUUGGCUUAGUGCAGGUUAGAGUUCAGCUAACAUCCUAAGUCAGGUGUGCAAGCUACGGUGGUACCUUGCUUCUCGAACUUAAUCCAUUUGGGAGUCCCAAAACUGUUUGAAAACCAAGGUGCGGCUUCCGAUUGGCUGCAGGACCUUCCUGCACUCAAGUGGAAGCCACAUUGAACAUUUGGCUUUUGAAAAACAUCCGCAAACCAAAACACUUAUUUCUGGGUUUGAGGUGUUCGGGAGCUGAUUUGUUUGGCAACUGAGCCGUUCGAGAACCAAUGUACGACUACUGCAGAAAGGUAGAAUCCACAUUUCUCCCUCUGCCCCACUUUUUCUUCUGGCUCCACCCAGAAGAACCUGCUGGAUGAGGCCAAUGGCCCAUCUAGUCCACUAUCCUGUUCUCACCGUGGCUAACCAGAUGCCUGUAGGACCCAAGUACGAGAGCACUCCCCACUCCAUGGGUUUCAUAGCAUAACCAUCAUGGCUAGCAGCCAUUGAUAGCCUUAUCCUCCGUGUGCCUCCCAGAAGGCGCGGAAAGGAAAGGAACCUAAUAAGUGUUUCUCAUCCCUGCACGGUUGGGGCAAGGACAAAGUUUUGCCUUGCUGCGGUGCUUGAAAGAAUACGGGGCCUCUUUUUGCGUCCUGUCAGCUUAUAAAGCCAAAAGGGAGACCCUGAUCAGGUCAUUUAUCUUUCUUAACUUUUUUUCAAAGCCUUGAAAAUUGUCAAAUCAGGGAAUGUCUCUUUUGAUCAGGGUGCACGAUACCUUCUUACUGUUAAUCAUUGCUAUCUCCUUCCUCCUGCUGCCAAGCAAUUGGUAUCCAGUGCUACUUUCCCAUGCCUGUAAUGAUUUAUUCAUGCCAUGUUUUAAUUUCUCAGCAGAGCCAGGGAUAUUGAUUGCUCAGCAUGGUGACAAGGGGGAGGAAUCCAUAUUCAUUCUAGGGGGGAAAAUAUUUAAAGACUUCGUUGCUGCAAGAAAAUAGCUAAUGCUACUUCAUGCAUUGCUUCAGUAUUUACAUCCUUUGAAGUGAAUGUCACCAUUCUGAUAAGUUUCUUUUAUAGCUGUUUUUUAUUGGCUUUCAGCUGUCCUUUGAUAACCCCCACACUUCUAGGACUUUAUGCUGUGCUUACCUUAAAAAAUAAUUCUGAUGUCCCAGGUGGAUACAGUGGUGCCUCGCAAGACGAAAAGAAUCCGUUCCGCGAGUCUCUUCGUCUUGCGGGUUUUUUCGUCUUGCGAAGCAAGCCCAUUAGAGGUUUAGCGGCUUAGCGCUACAGUAUUAGCGGCUUAGCCGGCUCAAAGAUCAGCUGAUAAGCAGCUUAACGAUCAGCUGAUAAGCGGCUUAGCAUCAGCUGUUAAGCGGCUUAAAGAUCAGCUGAUAAGCGGCUUAGCCAUCAGCUGAUAAGCGGUUUAGCGGCUUGGGAAAAAGGGGGGGGAAGGAAAAAAACCCCGCAGGAACUCGCAAGACAUUUUCGUCUUGCGAAGCAAGCACAUAGGAAAUUCGUUUUGCGAAGCACCUCCAAAACGGAAAACCCUUUCGUCUAGCGGGUUUUCCGUCUUGCGAGGCAUUCGUCUUGCGGGGCACCACUGUACAUUUCUUAGCUGUUCCGGGGCUAGGUACAUCUACAAUCCAUUCUAGAUCAUGUUUUUGAUAGUGUGAGGCAGUGUGUAAGGAGCUACUGGCUCUGCAAUCAACCCCACCAUGUGGUGGACCGUUGCAUUGCAGGUGGCAACUUCUGAAUAAAGUACUGUACAGUUAUGUCCUGGACAAGAAAGAGUAUAAAAGACUUCCUGUUCCAGCUGAGCUCUGCUUGAGGUCUACCUGAGUUCCAGGAAAUUUCCUGAAAGUUUAGUUAAUGUGGGUUUUUUGGUCCUGAUUCGUUCCUCACUCCUGUCUCACUGUUUAUGUCAGGGGUCAGCAAACUUUUUCAGCAGGGAGCCAGUCCACUGUCCCUCAGACCUUGUGGGGGGGCUGGACUAUAUUUUUUUUUUGGGGGGGGAAUGAACGAAUUCCUAUGCCCCACAAAUAACCCAGAGAUGCAUUUUAAAUAAAAGCACACAUUCUACUCAUGUAAAAACACCAGGCAGGCCCCACAAAUAACCCAGAGAUGCAUUUUAAAUAAAAGGACACAUUCUACUUGUGUAAAAACACGCUGAUUCCCGGACCAUUUAGAAGGUGAUUGGGCCGGAUCCGGCCCCCGGGCCUUAGUUUGCCUACCCAUGGUUUAUAUUCUCUUUCUAUCUUGCUCUUUGUUCCUGGUUUGACCUACAAGUCUUGGCGCCUGUCUCAGCUCAGAUCACUGUUCAUGGCUCAGUCCUGAAAUACAAGGUGAACAUAGGACAGGGGUCUAGAUUCAGGUAGGUAUCUGUGUUGGUCUGACGCAGUCGAAAUAAAUAAAUAAAAAAUAAAAAAAUUGUCCAGUAGCACCUUAGAGACCAACUAAGUUUGUUCUGGGUAUAAGCUUUCAUGUGCAUGCACACUUCUUCAGAUACACUGAAACAGAAGUCACCAGACCCUUAUAUAUAUAGUGGGAGGGUGGGGUGGGUUUUUUCUCAGAAGGGUAGUAGGAGAUGGGUGAUUGACUCAAUGGGUAUGGUAACAACUGCAAUCAGUCCUACAGGAAAAAGCAAGGGAUAGUAUGCAGAUGACCAAAAAUAGCUUUAGCAUAGGACAGGGGUGGCUCACCUGCACCCUGAGGUCAAUAUCUAGCCCCCUGGAGGUUUUUUGUGACACAUAUUUUUAAGUCAUUUUAACUGUUCUCAUAGGGCCCCCAGUGCAAUGAUACUUUGAUUCCAAAAGGUUUUUGGGCAUCACUGAAUGUGUCCAGGUUUUUUAAAAAGCUCACUCUCUCUCUCUCUCUCUCUAUAUAUGGAAUAUAAUAUGAUCACUUGCAGGGAAGCCAUGCUGAGAUUCUGUAAUGCCAAAAGGUUUCUGUACUUAAAACCCCCACAUAUUUUACUUGACCAUUCCCAUGGAUACACCUGUCAUUGACAUGGUCAGGUAGGAAUGUGCUGCCAACAAGCACACCUCUGUGGACAUGCCUAUCGCCAUAUGUGCAAGGUUCACCUGAAAGAGUUUCAGGAGAAUGGUUAGCUUGAAAGGGAGCUGUUAACCCAGCAGAACUGCAGCGGAGCCUGAGACUUUCAUAGCUAGUUCCUCAUUUACCAGGUUUUCUGCUGGGUUAUUUUGAGGGACAAAACUAGGGCUUUGCAAGGGGAAAGGCCCACUGCACUAUCCCUACAAGUCCCCUUCUAGUGCUGCAGCAGAGAUGUUUUAAGACUGGUGCUGUUGAAAAUGUAGAUCAGCCCUGAAAGCUACAGAAGUCAUCCAGACAUCCUCUUGUGUUAACCUCCCAUUGAAUAUUCUGUGUUCAUAUACAUAUCUUACUGCAUAUCCUUUAACCAAUAUGUCUCACUGCAUGUCUUCUGUCUUCUGCCUUUCCCGAACAUGCUGGCGCUCAUCCCAGUUAAUUUUUAAAGAGUUGCUCUCAGAAUAUUGGAGGCAGAUGCUGCUCCGAGUCGAGAAUGAUUUGCUCUUGAUUUUAAUAAGUUCUUAAGAGCACACCCAAUUGUCAGAUGCCCAGUUUCUGAGCAUGUACUUAGCGUUGUGCUUGCCACGAGGUACCUUUCCCACUGGAAACUGCAGUGCUGUGUCAAACUCAAUACCGUUUCUCAGCAGAGACAAAGGUAAAUGUCAAAUUUCACUUGUCGCCAUGGUUUGACACCUGCCUCAAUCUCUGCAAGGAAUGUGCCAAUCAUCUUUACCCUUUUCCGGUUUGUUUCAUCGGAAGGUGUUAACUCUGGUCAACCAUUUGUCUGUGUGCAUGAGCUGAUUCUGUGAAAGGGGUGUGUGUGUGUUGUGUCAAGUGAAGAGGUGACCUCUUCUCUGGCCUUGUUUAGCUAACAGCUAAAGAUGUUUUCUUUCAAAGGGUACAGAUGACUAGGAGAUGCUUGCUCAAUAAGCAUUGCUGGCUGGUGGCCCAUAGAUAGUUUUACGUCUUACCUCCUGGGUUGGGGGAAAUGUGAAGGAGAGAGAAGUUUUUGCAGCUGACUGAGGGCAUCUAAGGGAACACUUUCCUCUGGGGAAAACCUAAUGUUCCUCUUAAGAUGAGCAGUGCCUACAUAUUGGCCUGCUUUCCCAUUCUCUCUCUCUCUCUCUCUCUGUCUCUCUGUGUGUGUACUCUCUCUCUCUUUCACUUACAUGCAAGGAGAUGGGAGAGAAAUACGAUUUUGUUUGCAUUUUAAUGGAAAACUACCCAAUCCACACUGCUCAAACCAAUAUGUGAAAGAAACACAGCUAUCCUUGCAAUUUGUACUUCCCCCAUAUUUAGUAGUGCAGUUCCACAACCCAAGCAGUGUGUAUAAGAAUGCAUAUAUUAGGGACAUGAGUGCACAAAAAUGCAUAUGUUGGUGCAAAUGGCAAAUAUGCAUUUAAAUGAGGGGAAACCACUUGCAGAAAUAUGUAACUCAAUCAAGCCUGCGUACAACGAUGUGCCUUUUGAAGAAAUUCACAGUAGAAUACUGUACUGAUGAACUUUAAAUAGCAACACCCGAAACCCCUACAACUUUCUGCAGAAGUGUGGAGAAACUGAAACUGACAUAUUUGUCCUUCCUUAGCGAUACAGCUGUGGUUCUCCAGCCUCACAAAGGAAACUGAAGAGAAGCUGUUCCUGAAUUUUCCUACUGCUCAGGAAAGUGGGCAGCUCCUAACUAGAGAAGAAGUAGGACACUCACCCUGCCGCUCAUUAAAGUGGGAGAGGGAAUAAAAGAGAAGAGGAUGGUUCUGUGACUGAUAGAAAACUGAAAUUUCAUACACAUCUCAUAAAACAUACCUGG
Podarcis lilfordi (Lilford's wall lizard) is the source of this 15439-nucleotide non-coding RNA. The record is from the annotation of a GenBank genome assembly. NCBI's taxonomy places the organism in Eukaryota, Metazoa, Chordata, Lepidosauria, Squamata, Lacertidae.